This 65-nucleotide transfer RNA is filed under the name bacterium. RNAcentral's name for it is "tRNA-His". It matches the Rfam family "tRNA", at positions 5 to 66 of the family's 71-position model. From Rfam's summary of the family: Transfer RNA (tRNA) molecules are approximately 80 nucleotides in length. The record is from RNAcentral.
UAGUAGCUCAGUUGGUUAGAGCGCCGGGUUGUGGCUCCGGAGGUCGAGGGUUCAAUCCCCUUCUA